UGCUGUGGACAUCUCUGCUCUACACAUUCUUCAUUCUCACACUCUGAUACAGGUUCAACCUUCUAAUCCUUACAGGAUUUUGUUCCAAUUUCGUUCUCACAGAUGAUGCUAUCCUGAGCUGAAUGUAAAACAAGCGGGACAUGAUGCUAUUAUGAUGAUGGAUUUGCCUUGGGUAACCUUGUCUACUUUCACUCAAGAAUUGGAUUCAAAUAAGAAGAAAACUUCAUCCAAUAGCCUCUGGCUUUCAGAGUGUCAGGAACCUGCAAUUGCUGGAGUUUUACUGCAUUCAGGAGGCUAAAAUUCACACGCAUCAGCUUCAAAUCCUCACUGGAGUAGCAAUGGGAGGAAGGGUCAUUGCUUGGAGCAGAGCGAAAACUGAAGCCCAUAAAGCAUCGCUGGAUCCCAUUAUCCCACAAUUACAUACAGUUAGCCUUCCACUGCAGGCAACAUGGACAGUUUGAGUCUCAGACCUCAUCCGUUACAGCAAAACGGAGCAGAUUUUACAAAGAAUAAAUCCUGCUUCUCUCUGUGUCUAAAAGCCUAUGCAUUUCCUGCCUUGUGCUUGGAUCCUGAAAAAUGAUCGAGAUAUCAAAAAUAGCUUCAGUUCUGUUAACAGAGAUAUCCCAUGUCAUUUAGGGCACUGUGUUUUCUCCCUAUGGUCUUUGAAAGGAAGUGUGGGAGUCAUGUGUAGCUGCAGAAAAGCUAAUCAAUACCCUAUGUGUUGUGAAGCCGGCUUUUGAUUUAGCAACAUGUGAUAUUGAGGCAAGCUCAUUUUCACAGCAUUCAACCAGUUUUAAAGAGGUUUUAUCCGCCUUGAUUAACUGACAUUGAGUCAAUGAUAUAAAGAAAAUUACUUCUAUAUAAAAAUCUC
Long non-coding RNA from Pangasianodon hypophthalmus (striped catfish), 871 nucleotides. RefSeq lists it as uncharacterized. Lineage: Eukaryota; Metazoa; Chordata; Actinopteri; Siluriformes; Pangasiidae. The transcript is spliced from 4 exons. The record is from RefSeq and is a predicted model, not a curated record.